UACGUAGGGGGCGAGCGUUGUCCGGAUUUAUUGGGCGUAAGGAGCGUGUAGGCGGCCAGGUAGGUCUGCUGUGAAAACUCGAGGCUCAACCUCGAGACGUCGGCGGAAACCAUCUGGCUAGAGUCCGGAAGAGGAGAGUGGAAUUCCUGGUGUAGCGGUGAAAUGCGCAGAUAUCAGGAAGAACACCCGUGGCGAAGGCGGCUCUCUGGGACGGUACUGACGCUGAGACGCGAAAGCGUGGGGAGCGAACAGG
Molecule: ribosomal RNA, 253 nt
Filed under: uncultured bacterium
Lineage: Bacteria
Description: partial 16S ribosomal RNA
Rfam family: Bacterial small subunit ribosomal RNA
Source: RNAcentral